CGCACAUUGCGCCUGCUGGUAUUCCGGUAGGCAUGCCUGUUUGAGCGUCAGCACAACCCCUCAGCAUGAAAUUUUUUAUGUUGGUUAUGGGCAUGUGGAGGAUGAGCCUAAACCGCUUGCUCCCGCCUUAAACUUGCUGCACGACCGCGAGCUAAAAGCUAGGUUAAUGGAGUGGUGUUUACAUAUAUUCCAGCAUCUGCCGAUAGCUCUGUGGCGUUAAACGCGAUGUUACCCCCCCCAGGUGACUGAAGUUUGACCUCAAAUCAGACAAGGAUACCCGCUGAACUUAA
This 290-nucleotide unclassified non-coding RNA is filed under the name Orbiliomycetes sp. RNAcentral describes it as "partial contains 5.8S ribosomal RNA, internal transcribed spacer 2, and large subunit ribosomal RNA". Lineage: Eukaryota; Fungi; Ascomycota; Orbiliomycetes. The record is from RNAcentral.